GGACCCGCACAAGCGGUGGAGUAUGUGGUUUAAUUCGAUGCAACGCGAAGAACCUUACCAGGGUUUGACAUCCUGCGAAUCUCUUGGAAACGAGAGAGUGCCUUCGGGAACGCAGUGACAGGUGGUGCAUGGCUGUCGUCAGCUCGUGUCGUGAGAUGUUGGGUUAAGUCCCGCAACGAGCGCAACCCACGUCUUUAGUUGCCAGCAUUUAGUUGGGCACUCUAGAGAGACCGCCGGUGAUAAACCGGAGGAAGGUGGGGAUGACGUCAAAUCAUCAUGCCCCUUAUGUCCAGGGCUUCACACAUGCUACAAUGGUCGGUACAACGCGCAGCGACACUGUGAGGUGGAGCGAAUCGCUGAAAGCCGGCCUUAGUUCGGAUUGGGGUCUGCAACUCGACCCCAUGAAGUCGGAGUCGCUAGUAAUCGC
Molecule: ribosomal RNA, 427 nt
Filed under: uncultured bacterium
Lineage: Bacteria
Description: bacterial SSU rRNA
Rfam family: Bacterial small subunit ribosomal RNA
Source: RNAcentral